AGAGCGAACGCUGGCGGCAGGCCUAACACAUGCAAGUCGAGCGCCCCGCAAGGGGAGCGGCAGACGGGAGAGUAACACGUGGGAACGUACCCUUUGGUUCGGAACAACACAGGGAAACUUGUGCUAAUACCGGAUAAGCCCUUACGGGGAAAGAUUUAUCGCCAAAGGAUCGGCCCGCGUCUGAUUAGCUUGUUGGUGAGGUAACGGCUCACCAAGGCUACGAUCAGUAGCUGGUCUGAGAGGAUGAUCAGCCUCACUGGGACUGAGACACGGCCCAGACUCCUACGGGAGGCAGCAGUGGGGAAUAUUGGACAAUGGGCGCAAGCCUGAUCCAGCCACGCCGCGUGGGGGAAGAAGGCUUUCGGGUUGUAAACCCCUUUCAGUUGGGACGAAGCUUCUCCGGUGAAUAGCCGGACGGAGUGACGGUACCUUCACAAGAAGCACCGGCUAACUACGUGCCAGCAGCCGC
RNAcentral lists this ribosomal RNA (469 nucleotides) under uncultured bacterium. RNAcentral's name for it is "SSU rRNA". It matches the Rfam family "Bacterial small subunit ribosomal RNA", at positions 26 to 518 of the family's 1533-position model. The record is from RNAcentral.